GAUUGAACGCUGGCGGCAUGCCUUACACAUGCAAGUCGAACGGCAGCACGGGAGCAAUCCUGGUGGCGAGUGGCGAACGGGUGAGUAAUAUAUCGGAACGUGCCCAGUCGUGGGGGAUAACGUAGCGAAAGCUACGCUAAUACCGCAUACGAUCUAUGGAUGAAAGCGGGGGAUCGCAAGACCUCGCGCGAUUGGAGCGGCCGAUAUCAGAUUAGGUAGUUGGUGAGGUAAAGGCUCACCAAGCCGACGAUCUGUAGCUGGUCUGAGAGGACGACCAGCCACACUGGGACUGAGACACGGCCCAGACUCCUACGGGAGGUCAGCAGUGGGGAAUUUUGGACAAUGGGCGCAAGCCUGAUCCAGCAAUGCCGCGUGCAGGAUGAAGGCCUUCGGGUUGUAAACUGCUUUUGUACGGAACGAAACGGUGAGCUCUAAUACAGUUUGCUAAUGACGGUACCGUAAGAAUAAGCACCGGCUAACUACGUG
Molecule: ribosomal RNA, 486 nt
Filed under: uncultured bacterium
Lineage: Bacteria
Description: bacterial SSU rRNA
Rfam family: Bacterial small subunit ribosomal RNA
Source: RNAcentral